This 1394-nucleotide ribosomal RNA is filed under the name uncultured bacterium. Its description in RNAcentral is "bacterial SSU rRNA". It matches the Rfam family "Bacterial small subunit ribosomal RNA". The record is from RNAcentral.
AGAGUUUGAUCCUGGCUCAGAUUGAACGCUGGCGGCAGGCCUAACACAUGCAAGUCGAGCGGUAGAGAGAAGCUUGCUUCUCUUGAGAGCGGCGGACGGGUGAGUAAUGCCUAGGAAUCUGCCUGGUAGUGGGGGAUAACGUUCGGAAACGGACGCUAAUACCGCAUACGUCCUACGGGAGAAAGCAGGGGACCUUCGGGCCUUGCGCUAUCAGAUGAGCCUAGGUCGGAUUAGCUAGUUGGUGAGGUAAUGGCUCACCAAGGCGACGAUCCGUAACUGGUCUGAGAGGAUGAUCAGUCACACUGGAACUGAGACACGGUCCAGACUCCUACGGGAGGCAGCAGUGGGGAAUAUUGGACAAUGGGCGAAAGCCUGAUCCAGCCAUGCCGCGUGUGUGAAGAAGGUCUUCGGAUUGUAAAGCACUUUAAGUUGGGAGGAAGGGCAGUAAAUUAAUACUUUGCUGUUUUGACGUUACCGACAGAAUAAGCACCGGCUAACUCUGUGCCAGCAGCCGCGGUAAUACAGAGGGUGCAAGCGUUAAUCGGAAUUACUGGGCGUAAAGCGCGCGUAGGUGGUUUGUUAAGUUGGAUGUGAAAUCCCCGGGCUCAACCUGGGAACUGCAUUCAAAACUGACUGACUAGAGUAUGGUAGAGGGUGGUGGAAUUUCCUGUGUAGCGGUGAAAUGCGUAGAUAUAGGAAGGAACACCAGUGGCGAAGGCGACCACCUGGACUAAUACUGACACUGAGGUGCGAAAGCGUGGAGAGCAAACAGGAUUAGAUACCCCGGUAGUCCACGCCGUAAACGAUGUCAACUAGCCGUUGGAAGCCUUGAGCUUUUAGUGGCGCAGCUAACGCAUUAAGUUGACCGCCUGGGGAGUACGGCCGCAAGGUUAAAACUCAAAUGAAUUGACGGGGGCCCGCACAAGCGGUGGAGCAUGUGGUUUAAUUCGAAGCAACGCGAAGAACCUUACCAGGCCUUGACAUCCAAUGAACUUUCUAGAGAUAGAUUGGUGCCUUCGGGAACAUUGAGACAGGUGCUGCAUGGCUGUCGUCAGCUCGUGUCGUGAGAUGUUGGGUUAAGUCCCGUAACGAGCGCAACCCUUGUCCUUAGUUACCAGCACGUAAUGGUAGGCACUCUAAGGAGACUGCCGGUGACAAACCGGAGGAAGGUGGGGAUGACGUCAAGUCAUCAUGGCCCUUACGGCCUGGGCUACACACGUGCUACAAUGGUCGGUACAGAGGGUUGCCAAGCCGCGAGGUGGAGCUAAUCCCAUAAAACCGAUCGUAGUCCGGAUCGCAGUCUGCAACUCGACUGCGUGAAGUCGGAAUCGCUAGUAAUCGCGAAUCAGAAUGUCGCGGUGAAUACGUUCCCGGGCCUGUACUAACGGCCCGUC